RNAcentral lists this transfer RNA (75 nucleotides) under Anaeromyxobacteraceae bacterium. RNAcentral's name for it is "tRNA-Val". It matches the Rfam family "tRNA". Rfam says of the family: Transfer RNA (tRNA) molecules are approximately 80 nucleotides in length. Their secondary structure includes four short double-helical elements and three loops (D, anti-codon, and T loops). RNAcentral also lists the same sequence under 2 other names. Lineage: Bacteria; Pseudomonadati; Myxococcota; Myxococcia; Myxococcales; Anaeromyxobacteraceae. The record is from RNAcentral.
AGGCCCGUAGCUCAGUGGUAGAGCAUCACCUUGACACGGUGGGGGUCGUCGGUUCGAUACCGACCGGGCCUACCA